Molecule: long non-coding RNA, 748 nt
Filed under: Marmota monax (woodchuck)
Lineage: Eukaryota; Metazoa; Chordata; Mammalia; Rodentia; Sciuridae
Source: RNAcentral
GGGCCAUGCUGUGCUCACCCCAGCGGGUUCUGAUGGAGCCAGGGGGAGGACAUGUGAGUCGUAAGAGUCACAUUGCUUACGUCCAAAACUGGUUCUAACAAUUAUUUAUUUGUGUGACUUUGGACAAGUUGCUUGACCUUUCUAUUUUGUUUGUUUUCUCACUUGCAAAAUGGAGAUAAUAAUAGUCCAUAUUUUGGGGGGUUGCUGUGAGGCAUAAAUGAGACCAUAGGGGCAGAGAAUGGAGAGUAAUGCCUGGCGUAUAGUGGACGUUCAGCAAGUUCUGGUCAUCGCUGUUUGGUGCCAUGACCAGAACUGUGCCAUGACCAGUUCUGGGUGGAGCCACUCCUCUCUUUUUUUGGAGGGAGUUACUGGGGACUGAAUUCAGGGGUACUAGACCACUGAGCCACAUCCCCAGCCCUAUUUUGUACUUUAUUUAGAGGCAGGGUCUCACUGAGUUGCUCAAUACCUUGAUUUUGCUGAGGGUGGCUUUGAACUUGCGAUCUUCCUGCCUUAGCCUCCCAAACUGCUGGGAUUACCCCCUCUCUUUGUUCUUGACCCUGGAGAAUCUGGUGCAUACAUGUGGCUUAGAGGGCUUAAGUGGCUUGCUUGAGGUGCCACAGUCAGCCAGUGUGGGCAGGGCCUUGCCUCUUGCCAAGCUCUAUUCUCUACUGCCCCAUGGUGAAGAGGAAGGCUCUUGACAGAGGUAUCAUGACAGAGGGCAUCAUGACAGAGGUAGCAACCUUGGGUG